This 368-nucleotide ribosomal RNA is filed under the name uncultured eukaryote. Its description in RNAcentral is "partial 18S ribosomal RNA". It matches the Rfam family "Eukaryotic small subunit ribosomal RNA", at positions 592 to 976 of the family's 1831-position model. The record is from RNAcentral.
CAGUAGCGUAUAUUAAAGUUGUUGCAGUUAAAAUGCUCGUAGUUGAAGUUCGGAUGCAGCAGAGCUUGGAAACGCUGUUAUGGUGCUUCCGUUGCUUUUGCUUGUCCACAGUGCGUUGCAAGUACGUAUGUGCUUGUGCGUGCAUUUUACUUUGAGAAACAUAGGGUGUUCCACGCAUGUUACGGCAUGAAUAUUCCAGCAUGGGAUAAUCUAGUACGACUUCCAAUCUGCCAUUUUGGUUCGUAGGUUGGAAGUAAUGAUUAAUAGGGACUGUCGGGGGCAUUGGUAUUUGACUGUCAGAGGUGAAAUUCUUAGAUUCGUUGAGGACCAACCACUGCGAAAGCAUUUGUCAAGGAUGUCUCCAUUAA